RNAcentral lists this ribosomal RNA (388 nucleotides) under Ctenophora sp. (in: diatoms). Its description in RNAcentral is "Ctenophora sp. (in: Bacillariophyta) partial small subunit ribosomal RNA". It matches the Rfam family "Eukaryotic small subunit ribosomal RNA", at positions 582 to 975 of the family's 1831-position model. The record is from RNAcentral. Lineage: Eukaryota; Bacillariophyta; Fragilariophyceae; Fragilariales; Fragilariaceae.
AUUCCAGCUCCAAUAGCGUAUAUUAAAGUUGUUGCAGUUAAAAAGCUCGUAGUUGAACUUCGGAACCGGUCGAUUGGUCCGUCCUCUGGAUUGUGUACUGAUCGAUCUGUUCUUCUUCGCGAAGACCGCGUGUGCCCUUAACUGGGUGUGCACGGGAUUCACGACGUUUACUUUGAAAAAAUUAGGGUGUUCAAAGCAGGCAUUCGCUUGAAUAUCUCAGCAUGGAAUAAUAGAAUAGGACUUUGGUCUUAUUUUGUUGGUUUCCGAGACCGAAGUAAUGAUUAAUAGGGACAGUUGGGGGCAUUCGUAUUUCAUUGUCAGAGGUGAAAUUCUUGGAUUUAUGAAAGACGAACUUCUGCGAAAGCAUUUGCCAAGGAUGUUUUCAUUA